GCUCCUGUAGUCUAGCGGUUAAGGAUUCUGGCCUCUCGAGCCAGGGACCCGGGUUCGAAAGGUGUCUUUACUUCCCAAAACCUGGAAAUGCUUCGCGUUUCCCGGACGGGAAAGAAAAUCCCGGCGGGAGCACCA
RNAcentral lists this transfer RNA (135 nucleotides) under archaeon. RNAcentral describes it as "tRNA-Glu". The record is from RNAcentral.